Molecule: ribosomal RNA, 195 nt
Filed under: uncultured Rhodocyclaceae bacterium
Lineage: Bacteria; Pseudomonadati; Pseudomonadota; Betaproteobacteria; Rhodocyclales; Rhodocyclaceae
Description: partial 16S ribosomal RNA
Rfam family: Bacterial small subunit ribosomal RNA
Source: RNAcentral
CCUACGGGAGGCAGCAGUGGGGAAUUUUGGACAAUGGGGGCAACCCUGAUCCAGCCAUUCCGCGUGAGUGAAGAAGGCCUUCGGGUUGUAAAGCUCUUUCGGCAGGAACGAAACGGCGGGCUCUAACAUAGCCUGUCACUGACGGUACCUGAAGAAGAAGCACCGGCUAACUACGUGCCAGCAGCCGCGGUAAUA